GGAUUGUCCCUGCCGGCUGGCUCCGUGCCCGUCCACCGAACUAUUAGUAGGCGAUCCGCGUUGGUCGUGCGAGGUGCUAUGGUUUCCAGAGGCCGGUUCUUGUGCUGCCUACCCCUUUAGGGGAAGCAGGCUACUUGAUGUAAGCCUCCAUUCGGCGCCUUCCAACAGGCGAAGGAGGACAACGGAGCACUCCCCACGUUCCACCGAGCCUUCGUCGAUCGGAUGGUGCGUGGGGACGUGAGAUGCUCUCAGACCCAGCGAACGCCGUGGGCGAGGACUCACAUCCCUGUCCCAAAAGAAGGUUUAAUAUAAUGCUGACGGCCGCUCCCGCCCCCCAACCGGCUCUGGGCAAGGUGCGGCGUUGCAGAGGAAUGCUACCU
Molecule: unclassified non-coding RNA, 380 nt
Filed under: Acacia adsurgens
Lineage: Eukaryota; Viridiplantae; Streptophyta; Magnoliopsida; Fabales; Fabaceae
Description: partial external transcribed spacer
Source: RNAcentral